CAGGGAGACUUAAAAUUAUUGUGAUGUCUAAGUUAUUUAUUCUUAGGCCGCAAUACUGUCACCUUAAGGCCGAUCGGUACCUCAGAUGUUUGAAUUAAUUUUUUAAUUAAUUUUUUUAUUUCAGUUCCUAAACUUGUCUAGGUCACACCCAACAAAGGUUUCUCCUGGGCCAUUAGCUCAGGUGGUUAGAGCGCACCCCUGAUAAGGGUGAGGUCCCUGGUUCAAGUCCAGGAUGGCCCAUUCGUUGUUGGGGGUAUAGCUCAGUUGGUAGAGCGCCUGCUUUGCAAGCAGGAUGUCAGCGGUUCGAGUCCGCUUACCUCCACUGAAAACUAUCCUGUUAACUGUAUUUCCGGAGAAAACUUGUAGAUGUGACUUAGAAUCUUCUAUUUGAAAAGAACCUAGCUUCUUAUCAUCUUCUUAAUAGUUGAUAAUAUGCUGGGCUCCUAUGGAUUUAUUCCAUGAGAAUUCAGUAGAACCUUGAAAACUGCAUAGAUAAGAAAGAAUAAAGCAUCUCAUGGAUGCAUAAUUCUGAUUUGAUUUUUAGCUUCAAUGCUAAAUGAUCAAGUUAAAGAAUUCAUGUUUAAUUCUUGAGUAAUAGCCGAGCACAAUUGAAUUGUGUUUGUAUUUAA
This 629-nucleotide transfer RNA is filed under the name uncultured cyanobacterium. Its description in RNAcentral is "partial miscellaneous RNA". The stretch from base 250 to 322 matches the Rfam family "tRNA". Lineage: Bacteria; Bacillati; Cyanobacteriota. The record is from RNAcentral.